RNAcentral lists this ribosomal RNA (232 nucleotides) under uncultured bacterium. RNAcentral's name for it is "partial 16S ribosomal RNA". It matches the Rfam family "Bacterial small subunit ribosomal RNA", at positions 99 to 334 of the family's 1533-position model. The record is from RNAcentral.
CGGACGGGUGAGUAACACGUGGGAACCUACCCAUCAGAGGGGGAUAACACUUGGAAACAGGUGCUAAUACCGCAUAAUGUCUGCGGACCAAAGCGGGGGACCUCCGGGCCUCGCGCCAUCAGAUGAACCCAUAUGGGAUUAGCUUGUAGGUGGGGUAACGGCUCACCUAGGCGACGAUCCCUAGCUGGUCUGAGAGGAUGACCAGCCACACUGGAACUGAGACACGGUCCAG